UUCAAAUUCAAUUGUGUCCUAAAACAUUAUUUCAUUGGUAAUUCUUGCGAAAAACAUUGCUUUCAAAGUAUAACUGCCUAUGUGAGUGAUCAAAUUCAUGCAAAAUUUCUUGUGCUUUCCAACAUGUAGCACUGUGGACAUCAGACUGAAAACUAGGAGAAAUUACAAAUAGCCUGAAGGGCACUCUUUGUUUAAUUGCUGUUCAGUAACUUACCAGCAUCUAAUUUUGGAAUUUUUUUUGUUUUAAGUGUUGAAAUGUACCCAAACAUUCAUGGAAAUCUGAUUCAAACAUAAUUCUCUAAUGUGGAGAAGGAAGCAGAGCCUACAAUGGUGUUAAUUUUGUUCCUUUUUGUUAUGUACUGUGAAGUCCCUCUAGAGGCUAUUCUGUUAGGAUCCUACUAUAUUGUAUUCAGUGUACAAACACAAAGAACUGGUUUCGAUCUCGAGCAUCUCAAUUUAAUUAAAGAUAAUAUUUGAGUAGGGAUGAGAAUUGAUAAAUUAGGUGCUGUGGCACAACGAACUAACUUUUUGCUGCAGAUAACACAAACAUACUCUCCAUGUUCUCCGUAAUUCUAUCUUGACAUUUUAAUUUGAUGUUCUGCCAUGAUGAACAAUUUGCCUUAGAAUUCUCAUGCCUUGUAAUAAAGGCUGUUUAAAAAUUACAUCUUAUCUUUUGGGGAGAUUUCUAGCUAUGUUAUUGGGGUAUUAUGUGUUGCUUUUAUUGACCCUCGUCUUGGACAUUCCCAGAUGUCAAUUUUAACUGGCGAGUCAUGACAUUCUUCUGUUGCAUCUGAGCCAUUCUGUACCCCAAUGAAGAACAUUUGCUUCUCAAGAAAGAGAAACAAAAGGAUUUAAUCUUUCUCUAAAGAAAACUAUUGCUGGACCUCUAAAUAUCCAAAUCAAAUACGUUGGUCAUACUUGAUUACAGCAUUAUAAGCAGACUAUUGGGCAAGUUAAGCUUCAGUGGUCAUACUCCUCCCUUUGUCUUCUAUUCCUGUCUGGUGUCUUUGAGAAUUGUAUUUUGUCAGAAUGUUAACAAAGAUGAGCCUUCCCACGCUUUAUUUGUUGUGGGACUGGUAUAUAAUUGCAUGGUUUGACUUGAGUUUAAUUGAAGCGAGGAUGUAUGUCUGGUUCGCAAAAAUGGGUUUGCCCCUUUGCCAAGCUCUCCCUUUCAAAUUAAUGUAAUUGGUCAUCAAUGUAAAAAAUGUUUUCCUAAGUUAGUAUUUUAGUAUGUUAAAGCCUUUUUUUCUUUUUGUUCUUGUUUUUUAUUUCAUAAAGUUAAUGGGGCCAAAUCCUGUCCUCUCUGUUCCUUACUUGAGCAGUGAAGUCAGAGGGGUAUUGCCUGGGUAUGCGUUUCAGGCUUUUGCUUGUGGGAAGCGUGAUUGAGGCUGACCUGACAUGUCAUGAUGUCGACUUGCUAGGUGGGGUUCGCAAGGGACAUUAACCUUGGAGUUAUCGGUGUGAUCUCAAACCCUGCUUGAAUUAAUCAGUUUUCAAAUACAGCGUAUUGAUGAGUGAGCAAAAAAAGUUAGUGCAGCUCAAUGCUGGCAGCACCUGGAGAGCAAGCGCCAAUGAGUAUGCUGAAGGACAGAGACUGUGAUGAGCACUAUCAGUGUGCAACGUGAACUGAUGGCAGGUAUUCAUAUCUGGUCCUCGUAGUCUGACAUAAAUAUGGAAGCCAUAAGAUGCAGUGUGACUUCUGGCCGUGGAUUCUUCUGUUCUUGAUGAAUAUUUCAGUGUUGAUAGAAACAUUUGUUUUCAUAGCAUGUCCAAGAGCUGUUCUGCAGUGGAGAAGGUAAGUUCAUAGGUGUGGGCAGGGGACGGACAACCAAGGCCUUCAUCUGUUCUCAAGAGUUGUAUGGACAGAUGUUGGGCUGAUCAAACAGCUACUGAAACCAUGAAGAAUCGGGGCAUAUUUUUAUUAGUGGGGAUGAAAAGAGAGAUUUAAGAUUUUUAGCCUUUCCAUGAUGCUCUCAGAUGCAUGGUUGAAUUUUAAGGUGUUUCUGAAUGGAUCCAGAUUGUGAUGUGCUGUAAUUAUAUUUGUUGUCUUUUGAAACAGACUCGGUUGCAGUUCAUUGUCAUUCUCUGUUCAUUUUCCUGAUUGAGAAUUACUCUCUGCAGUGCUUGUUGCUGGAAAAUAUUUAGUUGCCAGUGUUUAUUUCUGUCUUACAAGUUCAGCUGAGUCCUCUUUGCUUUAUGGUGAGGGACUGCUGCUGGCUAUUAGCUGUGCUUUGAAGACAAAUAUCCCUAUUUUCAUUCAAGUUCAGAUUGUGUUUGCUCCGAAACCCAAUGGAAGUGUUAGCUGUAUCUCAGUUCCCUGAUUUGGGUUGAUAGGACUUGCCUGUGAAUCUUGUUCUGACAGAUGAUUACCUCCCUGGACUCCUUCCUUAGGUAACUUAGCAAAGAGUCCCAGGUAUGCUUUGCAAGGUAGAACCACGUGUAGACAACAGGGUUUUGUUGUUCUUCAGGGGGAAAAAAUACGUAGCAUGGAAACAUGAAAUCUGAAUCACCCUGAAUUUAAAAAUAAAAAUCUAGGAGAUACAGCGACUUAAUGCUGUAAGUUGGAAGAAUGGUGGUGAAGUUCUUGAAUAUGAGAUUUGUUUUAAACUGACAAUAAAACUGUGUGCAAUUUGUGCUUUUGCAGUAAAUGUAAAGCGUGCCAUGGAUUAGCUAAUCUUCCAGAAGAACCCCAGCAUCUGCAUGCCAUGGCAAGUGAUCUGAGGAGCUCCAGGUGGGUGUGCUACAUGUAUAUCGAGUCGUCUCUCUAG
RNAcentral lists this long non-coding RNA (2768 nucleotides) under Gallus gallus (chicken). RNAcentral describes it as "long non-coding RNA NONGGAT005114". The record is from RNAcentral. Lineage: Eukaryota; Metazoa; Chordata; Aves; Galliformes; Phasianidae.